RNAcentral lists this ribosomal RNA (253 nucleotides) under uncultured bacterium. RNAcentral describes it as "partial 16S ribosomal RNA". It matches the Rfam family "Bacterial small subunit ribosomal RNA", at positions 524 to 776 of the family's 1533-position model. The record is from RNAcentral.
UACGUAGGGUGCAAGCGUUGUCCGGAAUUAUUGGGCGUAAAGAGCUCGUAGGCGGUCUGUCGCGUCGGCUGUGAAAACUCGGGGCUCAACUCCGAGCUUGCAGUCGAUACGGGCAGGCUAGAGUUCGGCAGGGGAGACUGGAAUUCCUGGUGUAGCGGUGAAAUGCGCAGAUAUCAGGAGGAACACCGGUGGCGAAGGCGGGUCUCUGGGCUGACACUGACGCUCAUGCACGAAAGCGUGGGGAGCAAACAGG